GAUGAAGAACGCAGCGAAAUGCGAUACUUGGUGUGAAUUGCAGAAUCCCGUGAACCAUCGAGUCUUUGAAUGCAAGUUGCGCCCGAAGCCAUUAGGCCGAGGGCACGCCUGCCUGGGCGUCACACGUCGUUGCCCCCCCCAUCUACUCCUUCGGGAUUGCGGGGGGCGGAUGAUGGCCUCCCGUGCGCCUCGCCGCGCGGUUGGCAUAAAUGCCAAGUCCUCGGCGACGCACGCCACGACAAUCGGUGGUUGCGAAACCUCGGUUGCCCGUCGUGUGCGGUCGUCGCGCAUCGAGGGCUCGAAAAAAUUGCCGAGUUCCGGCUCGGCUUUCAACGCGACCCCAGGUCAGGCGGGGUUACCCGCUGAAUUUAAGCAUAUCAAUAAGCGGAGGA
Molecule: unclassified non-coding RNA, 392 nt
Filed under: soil metagenome
Description: partial contains 5.8S ribosomal RNA, internal transcribed spacer 2, and large subunit ribosomal RNA
Rfam family: 5.8S ribosomal RNA (bases 1-122)
Source: RNAcentral